Long non-coding RNA from Scylla paramamosain (green mud crab), 421 nucleotides. RefSeq lists it as uncharacterized. NCBI's taxonomy places the organism in Eukaryota, Metazoa, Arthropoda, Malacostraca, Decapoda, Portunidae. The record is from RefSeq and is a predicted model, not a curated record. The transcript is spliced from 3 exons.
AUAUAUAUAUAUAUGAUGGAUAUAUGUAGCUACUGUGUAACAUGAUCAUCUAAUACUUUCUUUUCUGUGUACAGGCACCCACAUUGCCAUCAAGGCACGAAGUGUGGAUGAGGCCCUCUACUUUAACUGGAAAAGGUAUCACUCCCUCUGAACAUCCAACUUGUUUGUGAUGCUCCAGAUUCCCAGGUGCCUGCAUUCUUCUGGAGGUAGCUUACAGUACAGACCCAUAAUUAAUGCUUGCCUGCUCCUACACAACUGCUGCAUCAAGUUCCUGAUGACCUACCACCUCUUGAGGAUGAAGCAGUGUCCCAUGCUGAUACCAACCCUGCUGUGCUGUAGAGGGGUCAACGCACUCCAGGCAGAAUUGUGUAGCAAGAAAUCAUACUAAACUUCUUCCAGCAAUGAAGUAAGGAAGUCAGAU